AAAAAUAGAAUAUACGUAUCGUUUCCACCCUUGGACGAAAUUUCGGUUCACGAUUUAAGUGCAGUAUUAUUCAGUUACGCGCCAAAUUAUAUAUGCUCUUAUACUUUUUGUCAUUUAUUAUAAGAUUGUUUUAUUAGGUUUUUUCUUCUUUCCAAAUUCUAAUAGAAGCCUUUUGGUGUUAUGAGUUGAUGCAGGAAAAGCAAAGGCGACGCUUCCUGUAGUGGAAAGUGUGUUUAAUGGCCACAACAGCACGAGAAUCAGAACCUUGACUUUAGGAAAAUAUUGAAUAUAUUGCAAGAGAUUAUUUAUUUAGUGUAGUGUUGAAAGGGACGAAUAACUAAGUAGUGGCAAGUGGAGCAGUCACUAAUGCUAAUGCGUGGGAUUGAAUGAUUCGCAUUUCACAGAUGACACA
Molecule: long non-coding RNA, 412 nt
Filed under: Glycine max (soybean)
Lineage: Eukaryota; Viridiplantae; Streptophyta; Magnoliopsida; Fabales; Fabaceae
Description: long non-coding RNA (GMAX_LNC003832)
Source: RNAcentral